UACGUAGGGUGCAAGCGUUAAUCGGAAUUACUGGGCGUAAAGCGUGCGCAGGCGGUUGGGUAAGACAGAUGUGAAAUCCCCGGGCUUAACCUGGGAACUGCAUUUGUGACUGUCCGACUGGAGUAUGUCAGAGGGGGGUGGAAUUCCAAGUGUAGCAGUGAAAUGCGUAGAUAUUUGGAAGAACACCGAUGGCGAAGGCAGCCCCCUGGGGCAAAACUGACGCUCAUGCACGAAAGCGUGGGGAGCAAACAGG
This 253-nucleotide ribosomal RNA is filed under the name Duodenibacillus massiliensis. Its description in RNAcentral is "partial 16S ribosomal RNA". It matches the Rfam family "Bacterial small subunit ribosomal RNA", at positions 524 to 776 of the family's 1533-position model. The record is from RNAcentral. Lineage: Bacteria; Pseudomonadati; Pseudomonadota; Betaproteobacteria; Burkholderiales; Sutterellaceae.